This is a long non-coding RNA of Chinchilla lanigera (long-tailed chinchilla), 4020 nucleotides long. RefSeq lists it as uncharacterized. The transcript is spliced from 4 exons. The record is from RefSeq and is a predicted model, not a curated record. Lineage: Eukaryota; Metazoa; Chordata; Mammalia; Rodentia; Chinchillidae.
GCACGGAGUGUUGGAAUCGGCCUCCAGCUCUGCACUUCUGCCCCGGAGGCAGUGCCGUGGAGCUCCCUCCCGCAAGGUAAGAGUGAGGAAGAGUGGGUUAAACCACCUCCCCAGCCAGGCAUGGUGGCGCACACCUGCAGUCCCAAUAUUUGGGAGGCUGAGGGUCAUCAUGAGUUCAAGGACAGCCUGGGCUGCCAGGUGAAUUCUUCUCUGCAGGAUCCGGGAAGUCUGUGUCUGUCUUCAGCUCUGCAUGGUCCUGCAGGAGGCCUAGCUUCCCUGACAGCCUGGCACCUGAGCCUGAGUCUUUCCGGCCGAUCGCUCCCACAAGUGACACCCCAGUGUGAUGCCAUCCAGGCUUGGGCUUUUAGCCUCUAAAACUGUGAGCCACAUAAAGCUCUUUUCUUUACAAAGCACCCAGCCUCCAACAGAAGCAGGCCUAAGUCUUUGGGGACACCCUAUGCUUUGAGGACAGGGAUGGGGCCACAAGCCCAUGACUGCAGGUGACCUGGAGACACCAGAACAGCAGGACGUCCCUUCCCUGGGGCCCAGAGGCUGUGCGUCCCACAGACACCCUGACUUUGGGCUCCCAAGGCCCAGGCUGUAAGGAAACACAUUUGCAUUGUUUAAGCCACUGCCGUGUUCACUGCUUACAGCAGCCACGGGAAACUGAGGCAGAGGGGUUCAGCAGCCCCUCUCCCAGUUCUCAGCCAGCUCUGAUGGUCCGGGAAGAAAGGAGACAGUGUGCAUGGUCCUGCUCUAGAGAGGUAUGGUAGUCGAGUGACAAGACCACCAGGCCACUUGGGAGUCCAGCGGUGUGGCUGGGCCUCAGGACCCCAGGGGGUGAUGCCUGACCUGGUGAGCCUCACCUCACCUCACCUCGGGUACAGGCCUCCCUCCCCGACUCAGGCUCCGCCUCUGUGAACACAGUGAAUGACAGGACCGGGCACAGGUGCCUGUGAUGAGCGGGCUCUCUGGGACAGGUGUGCACAGCAGGUGUGUGCCCAGGUGUGCGUGCAGGUCCACACAUGCACACCUGUGUGCCUAGGUGUGUGCAGGGCAUCGUGUGGCGUUGCUCUGUGAGUUCCCUGCCACCCAUCCCUCCCCCACCCACAGCCUCCUCCCAGGGCCGCGCUGCGGUGCUCACCUUGGCCGGGGAAGCUGCCAGCCCCAGUGUCCUUCAGGGGCCAUGCUCCUGGGUGUCCAGGCCUCGGCCCCUCCUCGCUGGCUCGCUCCUCCUCAGUCUCCUCCAGUAGCCCUUCUGACUGUCACUCCUGGGUGGUUGUCCCUCCCCCUGGCCCCAGGCCACCUGUUCCCCCCGUGUCCCUCUGGCCUCAGCGCGCCCCACAUCUGCGCGGGAGCCCUGUCCCACGCAGCGGCUCAGGGCGCUUUUGCUCAGCGAGUGACCGCGUGACCUCGUGCAGCGUGGGGACGCGGGAGCCGCGGCUGCUCCUCGUGGGAUGUGUGUCCAAAGGCGGUUCCUUGCGCUCAACGACAGGGACACAAGUGAGUUGGCCAAGCGCAGGCCUCGGAGGGGCGGAAGGGGGGAGGGGACUGCGCCUGCAUCCCCGCGCGUCCCGUGCGUCCCCUGUGCAGACUUCUGCAGCGCAGCGGUGACACAGCGGCCACUUCCUUCCUCCCUGACCUCGCGUGACCUCCGGGCCCUGCGCCGAAUGGGAGGAGGGGCGGAGACCCGGCCAGGGUCACGAGGUCAUGGGGGAGGGGCCGCCCCUGCCCCACCCCCACCACCCGCUAGGGCCAGGAGGUCAGAGCAGAGCGGGGGCUGUGCAGCGCUGAGCUUGUUGGUCUGCCUCUCUGACCCUGCUGUGUGUGCGUGUGUGUGAAUGUGUGUGUGCGUAUGUGUGAGUGUGAGUGCGUGUGUGAGAGUGAGUGUGUGUACAGGCACCAGUGAGCUGGUGUUUGCAGGCGGUCUGACACCGUCAGCACGGUUCCUGCCUCCCUCCCUCCCUCGGGCUUAUUUCCCUUGGUCCUUUUCUCCUGCCUGCACUGGGGACCGAGCCAUUUGCCCCCAGCACAUCCCCGAUAGGCAGGACAGCUCCGUCCCCCUCGUUUCUGUCUCCCCGCCCCACACACUGCUGGGCGCCAGGAGUUGCUCACCUGACGUUUGUCGAAUGAAUGAAUGAGCACUGAGCUUGCAAAGCACUUCCUCUCCUGGACCUCAUCACCAAGGGGGAGUCUUCAAGGUCCCCUGGUUUCAGGGCACAGUGUCUUGCCUUGCGGCGCCCUCUGCCCAGGGCUGCCCAUCUGCCUCGUCCUGCCCAGCUUGGAGCCGCCAGCACUCACCUCCCCUGCAGUGGGGUCUCGGAGGGUCCUUGCUGAGCAAGGGGUUCACACAGCACCCGGCGUGGGGGGCCAGGGCUUGCUCCUAGGUGGGGGUCAGGGCGACCUCUGGCCCCUGCCCUCCACCCCACUGUGGCCUCCUCUAGGAAGGGAAGGGCGCUUCAAGCCUGGGUCCUCCUGGGAAGACGCUGUGCCUGCUCGGAGCAGCCCUAGCCCAGCCCUGUCCUCACUGCCUGCCUCUGGGCCUCACUGGAGAGACGGGGGGCUGGGGUGGGGCCUGCAGGGGAGCCCCGAAAGCCCUGGGAGGCUGGCGUGCAGCAGGGAUUAGGAGGAUGGGAGAGAAAGCCCUGUGUGUGUGUGUGUGUGUGUGUGUGUGUGCGCGUGUGUGUGUGCGCGCGCGCGUGUGGCUGGCAGGAGAGGAGCCUUCAAAGGCAGGAGGGGAGGGAAUGAGCCGGAAACCUCAGCGCUGCUACAGCACAGAGGAGGCCCAGGGGAAGUGAGGGGCCGCAUGUGAGGCCAGAGGAGGGGAGGCCAGGGGGACAGACAAGGGGGCCGGGCACACCAAGUGUGCAGCUUGCACUGCGCGGUCCCAAGGCUCCUGCUCUAGACUGGGCACAGCCACCAGCUGGCUGCCCACCCUGGGUGCAUCCUUGCCUCUCAAAGGCCCCAGUGUUGCCGGGCGUGGGGGCACACGCCUGUCAUCCCAGCACUAGGGAGGCUGAGGCAGGAGGAUCGUUUCAAGUUUGAGGUCAGCCUGGGCUCCAUACAGCCUGUCUGAAAAACAAACAAAGGAAAAAAAGCCUCGAUUUCUUCAUCUGUGAAGAAGAGGGGGUGCAGACAGACGUCGGUGCCCGAGUCUCGUGGGGACCCUGUGACAAAGGCCAGAGCCAGGCACGGCGGUGUGCACCCGGAGUCCCAGCCGCUCCAGAGGCUGAAGCUGCGAAAUUCCUCGAGCUCAGGAGUUCAAGGCCAGCCUGGGCAACACGGUCUGGCUCUGUAGGCCAGGCUGGCCUCGAACUCACUCCGUAGCCCGCUUGGUCUCCUGCGUCAAGCUCACAGGGGAGGAUCCUCCCAGGGGUUACAGUUCUCAGCUCAGCAGGGUUCCCACUUCCCAGCAGAGCACGCACAAAGUCUGCCUGGCCACCUGCCACCCAAGGCCAGGCCAGACACUGGGAGCCCCGCAGCGUAAGAGUUGGCCUUCCAAGUGCAGAAAUCUCUUCCGGGGCCUCCACAAGGAAAGAGCCCAGAGCUGCAAAUGACAGCAAAGUGCUACCAGAGUCUGGAAGGAAAUCUCCACAAGGGCUGUCGGCCAUGUGGGAAGACAAAGAUGGACUGAGAGCUCCCAAGGACCCAGGCCUCUUUGCCUCCUGUCCCCAACACCUGGCACACUGCCUAGCAAGAGUAGGGCUUGGACAUGUGGUGAUUCACAAAGGAUAGAAGAGAAUGCGCAUAAAUGGCCUAGCACACUGCUGCCACAUAGUAAAUGCUCAACAAACACCAGUUCUUCCACAGAACAAUCACAGGCUCAAAACUGGAAUGUAAGACCUUUGCGUGUAUCUGAGCUCUUCUGCUUUGGUGAGAGGUGGGGUACAGUCAGGGACUCCCCUCCUCCUGACCAUGUUUCAAGCGCUGUUUGCUGGGGACAGAUGGGGAGAAGGCGAGUUGUGGAAUUGGGGGUGGGUGCAGGGUUAGUAGGUGCCAGCGCCCCAUGAGUCCUGACAC